AGAUUAAGUUAUUAAGGGCGCACGGUGGAUGCCUUGGCACUAGAAGCCGAUGAAGGACGUUACUAACGACGAUAUGCUUUGGGGAGCUGUAAGUAAGCUUUGAUCCAGAGAUUUCCGAAUGGGGAAACCCAGCAUGAGUUAUGUCAUGUUAUCGAUAUGUGAAUACAUAGCAUAUCAGAAGGCACACCCGGAGAACUGAAACAUCUUAGUACCCGGAGGAAGAGAAAGAAAAUUCGAUUCCCUUAGUAGCGGCGAGCGAAACGGGAAGAGCCCAAACCAACAAGCUUGCUUGUUGGGGUUGUAGGACACUCUAUACGGAGUUACAAAGGACGACAUUAGACGAAUCAUCUGGAAAGAUGAAUCAAAGAAGGUAAUAAUCCUGUAGUCGAAAAUGUUGUCUCUCUUGAGUGGAUCCUGAGUACGACGGAGCACGUGAAAUUCCGUCGGAAUCUGGGAGGACCAUCUCCUAAGGCUAAAUACUCUCUAGUGACCGAUAGUGAACCAGUACCGUGAGGGAAAGGUGAAAAGCACCCCGGAAGGGGAGUGAAAUAGAACCUGAAACCGUGUGCUUACAAGUAGUCAGAGCCCGUUAAUGGGUGAUGGCGUGCCUUUUGUAGAAUGAACCGGCGAGUUACGAUUUGAUGCAAGGUUAAGCAGUAAAUGUGGAGCCGUAGCGAAAGCGAGUCUGAAUAGGGCGUUUAGUAUUUGGUCGUAGACCCGAAACCAGGUGAUCUACCCUUGGUCAGGUUGAAGUUCAGGUAACACUGAAUGGAGGACCGAACCGACUUACGUUGAAAAGUGAGCGGAUGAACUGAGGGUAGCGGAGAAAUUCCAAUCGAACCUGGAGAUAGCUGGUUCUCUCCGAAAUAGCUUUAGGGCUAGCCUCAAGUGAUGAUUAUUGGAGGUAGAGCACUGUUUGGACGAGGGGCCCCUCUCGGGUUACCGAAUUCAGACAAACUCCGAAUGCCAAUUAAUUUAACUUGGGAGUCAGAACAUGGGUGAUAAGGUCCGUGUUCGAAAGGGAAACAGCCCAGACCACCAGCUAAGGUCCCAAAAUAUAUGUUAAGUGGAAAAGGAUGUGGCGUUGCCCAGACAACUAGGAUGUUGGCUUAGAAGCAGCCAUCAUUUAAAGAGUGCGUAAUAGCUCACUAGUCGAGUGACACUGCGCCGAAAAUGUACCGGGGCUAAACAUAUUACCGAAGCUGUGGAUUGUCCUUUGGACAAUGGUAGGAGAGCGUUCUAAGGGCGUUGAAGCAUGAUCGUAAGGACAUGUGGAGCGCUUAGAAGUGAGAAUGCCGGUGUGAGUAGCGAAAGACGGGUGAGAAUCCCGUCCACCGAUUGACUAAGGUUUCCAGAGGAAGGCUCGUCCGCUCUGGGUUAGUCGGGUCCUAAGCUGAGGCCGACAGGCGUAGGCGAUGGAUAACAGGUUGAUAUUCCUGUACCACCUAUAAUCGUUUUAAUCGAUGGGGGGACGCAGUAGGAUAGGCGAAGCGUGCGAUUGGAUUGCACGUCUAAGCAGUAAGGCUGAGUAUUAGGCAAAUCCGGUACUCAUNCAUUAAGGCUGAGCUGUGAUGGGGAGAAGACAUUGUGUCUUCGAGUCGUUGAUUUCACACUGCCGAGAAAAGCCUCUAGAUAGAAAAUAGGUGCCCGUACCGCAAACCGACACAGGUAGUCAAGAUGAGAAUUCUAAGGUGAGCGAGCGAACUCUCGUUAAGGAACUCGGCAAAAUGACCCCGUAACUUCGGGAGAAGGGGUGCUCUUUAGGGUUAACGCCCAGAAGAGCCGCAGUGAAUAGGCCCAAGCGACUGUUUAUCAAAAACACAGGUCUCUGCUAAACCGUAAGGUGAUGUAUAGGGGCUGACGCCUGCCCGGUGCUGGAAGGUUAAGAGGAGUGGUUAGCUUCUGCGAAGCUACGAAUCGAAGCCCCAGUAAACGGCGGCCGUAACUAUAACGGUCCUAAGGUAGCGAAAUUCCUUGUCGGGUAAGUUCCGACCCGCACGAAAGGCGUAACGAUUUGGGCACUGUCUCAACGAGAGACUCGGUGAAAUCAUAGUACCUGUGAAGAUGCAGGUUACCCGCGACAGGACGGAAAGACCCCGUGGAGCUUUACUGUAGCCUGAUAUUGAAAUUCGGCACAGCUUGUACAGGAUAGGUAGGAGCCUUUGAAACGUGAGCGCUAGCUUACGUGGAGGCGCUGGUGGGAUACUACCCUAGCUGUGUUGGCUUUCUAACCCGCACCACUUAUCGUGGUGGGAGACAGUGUCAGGCGGGCAGUUUGACUGGGGCGGUCGCCUCCUAAAAGGUAACGGAGGCGCUCAAAGGUUCCCUCAGAAUGGUUGGAAAUCAUUCAUAGAGUGUAAAGGCAUAAGGGAGCUUGACUGCGAGACCUACAAGUCGAGCAGGGUCGAAAGACGGACUUAGUGAUCCGGUGGUUCCGCAUGGAAGGGCCAUCGCUCAACGGAUAAAAGCUACCCCGGGGAUAACAGGCUUAUCUCCCCCAAGAGUUCACAUCGACGGGGAGGUUUGGCACCUCGAUGUCGGCUCAUCGCAUCCUGGGGCUGUAGUCGGUCCCAAGGGUUGGGCUGUUCGCCCAUUAAAGCGGUACGCGAGCUGGGUUCAGAACGUCGUGAGACAGUUCGGUCCCUAUCCGUCGUGGGCGUAGGAAAUUUGAGAGGAGCUGUCCUUAGUACGAGAGGACCGGGAUGGACAUACCUCUGGUGUACCAGUUGUCGUGCCAACGGCAUAGCUGGGUAGCUAUGUGUGGACGGGAUAAGUGCUGAAAGCAUCUAAGCAUGAAGCCCCCCUCAAGAUGAGAUUUCCCAACUUCGGUUAUAAGAUCCCUCAAAGAUGAUGAGGUUAAUAGGUUCGAGGUGGAAGCAUGGUGACAUGUGGAGCUGACGAAUACUAAUCGAUCGAAGACUUAAUCAAAUU
RNAcentral lists this ribosomal RNA (2931 nucleotides) under Staphylococcus aureus. RNAcentral's name for it is "bacterial LSU rRNA". It matches the Rfam family "Bacterial large subunit ribosomal RNA". Lineage: Bacteria; Bacillati; Bacillota; Bacilli; Caryophanales; Staphylococcaceae. The record is from RNAcentral.